This 468-nucleotide ribosomal RNA is filed under the name uncultured bacterium. RNAcentral describes it as "partial 16S ribosomal RNA". It matches the Rfam family "Bacterial small subunit ribosomal RNA", at positions 28 to 507 of the family's 1533-position model. The record is from RNAcentral.
GACGAACGCUGGCGGCGUGCUUAACACAUGCAAGUCGAACGGAAAGGCCCUGCUUUUGUGGGGUGCUCGAGUGGCGAACGGGUGAGUAACACGUGAGUAACCUGCCCUUGACUUUGGGAUAACUUCAGGAAACUGGGGCUAAUACCGGAUAGGAGCUCCUGCUGCAUGGUGGGGGUUGGAAAGUUUCGGCGGUUGGGGAUGGACUCGCGGCUUAUCAGCUUGUUGGUGGGGUAGUGGCUUACCAAGGCUUUGACGGGUAGCCGGCCUGGGAGGGUGACCGGCCACAUUGGGACUGAGAUACGGCCCAGACUCCUACGGGAGGCAGCAGUGGGGAAUAUUGCACAAUGGGCGGAAGCCUGAUGCAGCAACGCCGCGUGCGGGAUGACGGCCUUCGGGUUGUAAACCGCUUUCGGCUGUGACGAAGCGUGAGUGACGGUAAUGGGUAAAGAAGCACCGGCUAACUACGUG